GUCGAACGAGAAUUCGCGCCUUCAGCCGCAAGGUGAGAAGGCGCGGAGGAGAGUGGCGAAAGGGUGAGGAACACGUGGGCAAUCUAUCUCCAAGUUGAGUAUAACCCGUCGAAAGGUGGGCUAAUACUGAAUGUGAUCGUCCCGGGCAUCCGGGAUUGUUUAAAGGCAGGGACCCGCAAGGGCCUGUCACUUUGAGAGGAGCCCGCGUCCUAUCAGCUUGUUGGUGAGGUAACGGCUCACCAAGGCGAUGACGGGUAGCUGGUCUGAGAGGAUGGUCAGCCACACUGGGACUGAGACACUGCCCAGACUCCUACGGGAGGCUGCAGUCGAGGAUCAUUUGCAAUGGGCGCAAGCCUGACAAUGCGACGCUGCGUGGAGGAUGAAGGCCUUCGGGUUGUAAACUCCUGUCAUUUGGGAACAAGCUCGGGGAGGGGAUAAUCCUUUCCGGGGUGAUAGUACCAGAAGAGGAAGUCACGGCUAACUCUGUGCCAGCAGCCGCGGUGAUACAGAGGUGGCAAGCGUUGUUCGGAUUUACUGGGCGUAAAGGGUGCGUAGGUAGUUUUGCAUGUCAGAUGUGAAAGCUCAUCGCUCAACGAUGAAAGUGCAUUUGAAACUGCAGGACUGGAGUACGGGGGAGGAGAGUGGAAUUCUUGGUGUAGCCGGUGAAAUGCGUAGAUAUCAAGAAGAACACCGGUGGCGAAGGCGACUCUCUAUCCCGAUACUGACGCUGAGGCACGAAAGCUGGGGGAGCAAACAGGAUUAGAUACCCUGGUAGUCCCAGCCUUAAACGGUGUACACUUGGUGUGGGAGGAUUUGACCCCUUCUGUGCCGGAGCUAACGCGUUAAGUGUACCGCCUGGGGAGUACGGCCGCAAGGUUAAAACUCAAAGAAAUUGACGGGGGCCCGCACAAGCGGAGGAGCAUGUGGCUUAAUUCGAUGCAACGCGAAGAACCUUACCAGGACUUGACAUGCAACUGCACGUCCCGUGAAAGCG
This 994-nucleotide ribosomal RNA is filed under the name uncultured bacterium. Its description in RNAcentral is "bacterial SSU rRNA". It matches the Rfam family "Bacterial small subunit ribosomal RNA", at positions 61 to 1009 of the family's 1533-position model. The record is from RNAcentral.